Molecule: ribosomal RNA, 497 nt
Filed under: uncultured bacterium
Lineage: Bacteria
Description: partial 16S ribosomal RNA
Rfam family: Bacterial small subunit ribosomal RNA
Source: RNAcentral
GAUGAACGCUGGCGGCGUGCCUAAUACAUGCAAGUCGAGCGAACGGACGAGAAGCUUGCUUCUCUGAUGUUAGCGGCGGACGGGUGAGUAACACGUGGAUAACCUACCUAUAAGACUGGGAUAACUUCGGGAAACCGGAGCUAAUACCGGAUAAUAUUUUGAACCGCAUGGUUCAAAAGUGAAAGACGGUCUUGCUGUCACUUAUAGAUGGAUCCGCGCUGCAUUAGCUAGUUGGUAAGGUAACGGCUUACCAAGGCAACGAUGCAUAGCCGACCUGAGAGGGUGAUCGGCCACACGGGAACUGAGACACGGUCCAGACUCCUACGGGAGGAAGCAGUAGGGAAUCUUACGCAAUGGGCGGAAGCCUGACGGAGCAACGCCGCGUCAGUGAUGAAGGUCUUCGGAUCGUAAAACUCUGUUAUUAGGGAAGAACAUAUGUGUAAGUAACUGUGCACAUAUUGACGGUACCUAAUCAGAAAGCCACGGCUAACUACGUG